RNAcentral lists this ribosomal RNA (421 nucleotides) under uncultured bacterium. Its description in RNAcentral is "bacterial SSU rRNA". It matches the Rfam family "Bacterial small subunit ribosomal RNA", at positions 355 to 774 of the family's 1533-position model. The record is from RNAcentral.
UAAGGAAUAUUGGUCAAUGGACGCAAGUCUGAACCAGCCAUGCCGCGUGAAGGAUGAAGGUCCUCUGGAUUGUAAACUUCUUUUAUCUGGGACGAAAACGGGAUUUUUAUCUCAAUUGACGGUACCAGAGGAAUAAGCACCGGCUAACUCCGUGCCAGCAGCCGCGGUAAUACGGAGGGUGCGAGCGUUAUCCGGAUUUACUGGGUUUAAAGGGUGCGUAGGUGGGCUUAUAAGUCAGUGGUGAAAUCUCCGAGCUUAACUUGGAAACUGCCGUUGAGACUAUAGGUCUUGAAUUAUCUGGAGGUAAGCGGAAUAUGUCAUGUAGCGGUGAAAUGCUUAGAUAUGACAUAGAACACCGAUUCCGAAGGCAGCUUACUACAUAUAAAUUGACGCUGAGGCACGAAAGCGUGGGGAUCAAACA